AAAACAGGAUACUCAUUUGCUGUUUCUGCAUCAGGGACGUUAAUGAGGCUCGACCCCCUAGGAAUCCCCAACCACUUCAGCCACUCCGUCUUCUCCAGGGCUGAUGUUUCUGUGAUGUCAUCGGUAACUAUGGCGACAGAGACACUCAGCAGCCUGGGAGCUUCACGGUCCAGAGGAACCGACUGCAGAAAGCUUUGAGACCAGCCCCCUGGUUACAGAGGAGGAAACUGAGGCUUCUUGAUUUCCCUGGAGUUGGUUGGUAGUAAGGAAAAGUGAGAUUUGCACCUCAGGCCUCUGAAUUCAUAGCCAGUGCCCCUUCCAUUCUACCAGAUUGGCUUCCUACGGACAAUCCUAGUGUCGCAGACUUAGAGCUGGAAGAGACCUCAGAGGCCAUCUGAUCCAAUUCUCUCAUUUGAUAAGGGAGAAAACUGAGACCUAAGGAGAGCUGGAGUCUACCUCCAUACUGAGUCCAGAGAACUGAAGUGAUUCGCCCCAAAACCCACAGGGAAGAACAAAGACAUCAAGCCUGGCAGGGUGCUGGCCCACUGAGAGCAGCAUGGGAACAUCACCAGAAAACACUGGAGACCUUGCAGCAUCACAGUUGUGAGAUGCCCCCUUCCCACGUAUGCCCCGGUCACAAAUGUUGUGUAGAGUGAUCCAGGACAAUUCUGAGGGACUUUUGACAAGGAAUGCUAUCUACCUCCAGAAAAAGAGCUGUUGGAGUCAGAAUGUAGAUGAAAGCAGAUGGUUUUUCAAUCGUUUAUUUGGAUUUUUGUUUGGAGGUUUUUGUUUUAUAUGAUUAUUUACUUACAAAAAUGAAUAAUAUGGAAAUACAUUUUACACGAUAAUUUGUGUAUAACCCAGAUCUAAUUGCUUGCCAGCUUUGGGAAGGGGGGAGGGAUGGGAGGGAAGGAGACAAUUAUUAUCUAACUUCAGAAAACUUUUGUGGAAGUUUGUUAUUACAUAUAAUUGGUAAAAAAAAAAUAAAUUUGGAAAAAGAAUUGAGAAAGCAAAAUAAAUAAAUAAAUAAAUGAAAAUAUUUUGUAGAUAUGUCCCUUUCCAUUUACAAUGUAGCACCAUGUGGAGGUGGGUAUAUGGGAAGAAUCUUUGUUUGCUGUAUUUUUUUUUAACCCUUAGCUUCUGUCCUGGAAUUGAUACUGGGUAUUGGUUCCAAGGCAGAAGAAAGGUAAGGGAUGGGCAAUUGGAGUUAAAUGACUUGCUCAGGGUCACACAGCUGGAAAGUGUCUGAGGACACUUUUGAACCCGGGACCUGCAGACCUGGCUGUCUAUCCAUUGUGUUCUCUAGUCAUUUCUUUUCCAGUCUUCUUACCCUUGCCACCCCCUAUCCAUGCUUCCAUCCAGGGGCAUUGGUCUCCUGGCUGUGCUACAAAUAAGACACUCUAUCUCUUGGCUCUGAGCAUUCUCUCUGGCUAGCCUCCAUAUUGGAACUCUCUUUACCCUCCUUUGACAACUGACUUCCCUGGCUUUUCAGUCUUGACUAAUACCUCACCUUCUUCAGGAAGCCUCCCUCAAUUCAAUUCUGAUUCCUUCCCUCUGUGAAUUAUUUCUUCUUUAGCUUUCUUUGUAUCUAUUUAUUUGCUGGAUGUCUCCGGUAAGUUCCUUGAGGGCAAGGCUGCCUUUUGUCUCUCUCUUUUUUUUAUCUUCUGUGCUUAACACACUGCCUGGCCCAAAGUAAUUUCCGAAUCAAUGUUUGGUGAUUGAUUGGGAACAGAGCUUUGCUGGAGAAUCAGAGAGAUGCAGCCAUUCUUCCUGAUCAUCUAGCCACAACCCCAGCUUCUGUGCUUCCAGUUGGAGUUAGAACUGGCACUCAGUCCUUUUUUUUCCUCUUCCUAGGACUGAAUGAAAGAGGGCAGACUAGGGUAUUAUUUGAAGGCUCCCAAGGGGGCAAAAGUGAUAGCUGAAGUCUUCCUCCUAUUUCAGACAAAAUACUAGAGAAAUACUAGCUUUUUAGAGACAGAACUUGUUGGUACAAGGAGCUGGAUGAAAGAGCGGGGGCCAAAACUGCUAUGUUUUUAUUUAGCAUUUUGUUGGGAAACCUAUGGAAGAAUUUCAUGUAUAAUACAGGUCUGUACUAAAUUUUCUGUAUCACUAGAGGCCAGAAACAACUCCCCAAACUCCCUCUGAUAAGAGAGAACCAGCUCUAACAGUAGAUAUUUGUGACUAAAUUACAAGUCAAGGAAUCCCAAGAAUUUCCUGUAGCUUAAUCAAAUUGCUUUCCUAAGUAGCAUUAAUGGAGAAAAAAGCAUUCCCCCAGAGCAGUGUCUUACAAGUAGUGGACAUUCAAUAAGUUCUGAUGGAUGAGUUACUGGCCAGGCAGCAGGAACAGUUAAGAAAACUGAAAUCAGGGUGACCCAGUAGCUUACCUUAAUACUUCAAAAGAACUGUUAUGGGGGGGUCUUUUUUUAACCCCCUUUUGGUAUUAGAAUCCCUGGACUCUAUUUUGAAGUCAUUUCUUUCUUCUGGGUUGGUGUCUUUUUUGUUUGUUUGUUUUGCUUAUUUGUCCUUCUAAUACUGCCUGAUUUCUUUUUUCUAAUGACAAAAAUUUUAUUUACUAAUUACGUGGAAUAACAAAUGUCCACAUAAGUUUUCUGAAAUUCGAUGAUCCAUAUUGUCUCCUUCCCCCUUCCAGAGCUGACAAGCAAUUCAAUCUGGGUUAUACAUGUAUUAUCACACAAAGCACAUUUCCGUAUUGUUCAUGUUUGUAAGUGAAUAAUCUUAUACAGCCAACCCCCCAAACAUAUUCCCAAAUAAACAAGUGGAAAGGCACGUGCUUUCGUCUACAUUCCGGCUCCCACAGUUCUUUCACUGAAGGUGGAGAGCAUUCUUUUUCGAAAGUCGGGGCUGUGUCUUAAGCAUCUCUGGUGUCAUAAUAGCUUUUUUAAUGAUGUGAUUCUUUUUCCCUCAUUCUUCCAGUUUACUUCAUGCCUUCAGACUCUGUGUUAAAGUCUGAUCCGAGUAGUUGUGGCUUAGGGUAUCAAAUGUUGAGUUAUUCCAAGAUCUUAGAGGCAGCUCAGGCUGGGCCAUCUCUAGACUUUCUGCACUCCCAGAGUGUCUGAUCCAGGCACAGUGGGAUUACAAGUUUCUGACUUGGGUUUGGGUUAAAGCAACCCUACUCCUAUGGGCUUAUUCUGGCCGUGGUUCCAGGAGGCUGCUGCUACACAACUCUCAACUAUCUAGAAAGUUCUGCUGUUUAGAUUGAGGGAACUGUGGCUGCCACUUUGGUCUGGGCUUCCUGCCUAAGUUAUUGCUCUCUGGGCUGCACGCAGGACUGUGAGAUGAAAGUGAGACCUUGCUAUGAGCCGCAGAGCUCUUGGACCCUUUUAUUUAGCUCAGCACAUCCUAAUGGUGGAGACUAACCUCUCCUCUCCUUGGAACAUCACUCCUAGGCUCGGGUUCCAGAUCUCUGAUCCGCAGCUGGGAAAUUAGUGAUAGAGCUGCAGUUGGCACCUGUUCCUGCACUCUCUACAAGUUCAGACCCCUCUCACUGCAUCUGGGACCCCUUUUUGACCUGGGACACAGCCUCUCCCUGGUAGAAUGAAUGCUCUAGACAGUGCUCUCUUGGCCAGAUCCUGGCCCCUGGUGUCCACAGAUUGCUCUAACUCCCUUUGUUGCCCUGGGCUGAAAAAAAAAAGACUUGUUUUUAAUCUUUCUUAGAUUUUCCUAUAAGAUCUGGAGCAUUUUUCUAGUGUGGAAGACCUAGGGGCAGGAGGAGACCUCAGCUAUCCUUUUUUUCCAUAUUCCUUUAACGGGUUUUCCCCCUCCUUUAAUGAUUUUUUUUAAACCCUUAUCUUCUGUCUUGAAAUUAAUACUGUGUAUUGGUUUCAAGACCAAGGCAGAAGAGUGGUAAGGGCUAGGCAAUGGUGGUCAAGUGACUUGCCCAGGGUCACCCAGUUGGAAAGUGUCUGAGGCUGGAUUUGAACCCACCAAUGACCUUUUUAGAAUUCUCCUCCCUUGUGAAUUGCUGCUGUUUUGGGUUAUAGUUCUCUCUUUCUUGGGAGCUAUUCUUUCUUUCCUUGGCUCAGCUUGCACUGCUCUCUCCUGGCCCAUUGCCCAACUAUAUGAUUCCAUAUUGACUUCCUCAUUUCUUUUGCUGGUUCAUCAUCCAUCUCUAGCCCGCUACACAUUGGCUGUCCUCAGAGACUGUCUUCAGCGCUCUUCUCCUCUCUCUCCAACCUCACUUGCUUGGUGAGCUCAUCUUAUCCCAGGGGUUCAAUAAUCAUUGCUUUGCAGGUGACUCCCAGCCCUAAUGUCUCUCCUGAGCUCCAGCCCUGAAUCACAGUGGCCUGAUUGUCCUCUCCAUCCAGAUGUUGUGAAUACACAUAAAAAUCAUGUCCAAAACAGGACUCCUUCUCCUUCUCCUUAUCCCUGCCCUACUUCCAAGCAUUAUAUGUGUUGAGGGUAUCACCAUCUCUGCAGCCGUCCAGAUUCAACAGAACAAGCAGUGGCAAUAGAGCAAGCCUUUAUUAGACACUUACUGCCCCUGCCUUCGAGGAGCUAACAUUGGAGGAGGGGGAGAGGACACGCAGACCACCUAUCCAGGCAAGGUGCAGAAUAAUGUGUAAAUGAGGUCACCUCAGAGAGAAGGCUUCAGCAGUACGGGGACAAAGAAUGUGGGGUUGGAGCUGACUUUUAAGGGAGAUUCAUAAUUCUAGAAUCCCCCUGCCCUCUCCCUUGUCCCAUCCCUCUCCCUGCACCCAGUCAGUCACUCACUGUGUCCCGUCAGUCCUCCCUUCAGAGCAUCUCUUGGAUCUGCCCCUUUCCUCCACCCACCCAGCCACCGGCUUCGUUCAGGUCCUCGUUACCUUCCUCUUGACUGUUAGAGUAGCUUCCUCAUUGGUUUCUCUGCUUCUCAGCUCUCCUGUCUAAUCCAUCCUUUCCAAAACUGCCCACAAUAAGCCGGCUUCGCAGAUGUGGCCGGGUCACUCCCCUACCAAAAUACUUCCAAUGAUCCCCUGUUGCUUCUGGGAUAAAAUUAAAACUCUCCAGCUCGGCAUUUAUAGCCCUUCAUAAUCUGGCUCCAACUUUUCUUUCUGACCUAAUUUCUCCAUAUUCACCUUCACAGCUAAAAUGGAAUUCCAGCUGUCCUGAAACUUGACAUGGCACAAAUGGCUUCCCUGCGUUAUGUAGGUGUUCCUCAUCUCUUGCAUGCCCUCUCCCUUUAAUUAUGCCUCUCAGAACCCUCUUACGGAUCAGUUCAGAUAUCCUCAGGAUGAGAAGGCAGGCCAAAUUGCCUCCACUUUGCCCACCAAUGCUCCCUUGAGAUCUUUUUAAAAAUAAUUAAAAAUUGUAUUGAAUAAGUUUUUUUUAAUGUUCUAGAAUAGCUAGAAGAGAUACAAAUAUUAUUAACAUGGGGCGAUGCCAAUAAGUAGUUAGACAAUAUUUUUAAA
Non-coding RNA from Monodelphis domestica (gray short-tailed opossum), 5408 nucleotides. NCBI's taxonomy places the organism in Eukaryota, Metazoa, Chordata, Mammalia, Didelphimorphia, Didelphidae. The record is from RefSeq and is a predicted model, not a curated record.